CCCCCUCUCCUCCCCAGUGUCUCGUCUUCCCACAGUCCCUCUGAACACACCCUGCCUCGGGCUGGCUCCAGGGGCUUUUGGAGGCAAGUUUUCUCCCUCUGAGUUGCUGAAUUUUCCUUGACCGUGUUGCCUCUUUGACAGCUCUCACAUACUGUAAUAUGAAAUCGUUGUGUCUUUUUACAUCCAGACUAUAAGCUUCCUGAGGGCAGAAACCAGGCUGCUUUGUUCACACUCCUCCCAGCGCGGGGGACAACAGAGACACGCAGGAGAGGAGAUUGACUAGAAACCAGCUAAUGUGUCUCUCGCAUUGCCACUCUCCUCCAGUCAAACUCCACCUUGGCUCCUGCAUCAGCUGAUGAAACCCAGGCGCCUUCUCCCCCUGCAGCUCUGCCAGAGGGCUCCUUCCUGACCUCCGAAGGUGACUCACGUGGGUCGAGUUUCUGACUCCCCAGGAAGCGCUGCCAGUCCUGGAGGCUGAGGUUGGACUAUUGUAUUGCUCUACAUAAACAAAGCCUUCAUCUGGCCUGAGCCUCAAAGAAAGACUCUACAGAUGGCACCGUUAUAGAUGAGACCACAGCAGAAAAGCUCUGGCAAGAUUAGUUGCAAAAUGAGGAUGAGGAAAAGGCUGGGGAGCACCACCAUGGAGGAAUAGUGAAGAGCAGGCAUUUGAGAAGCUCUACUCGGCUGUGUGACCUUGGGCGGUUAUCUAAGCCACUGGGGUCAGCUUCCCCACCUGGAAAAGCAAGAUAGCAACAGAGGGUACUUCCUGCCACGGAGGCCGUCUCCUUUGCCUUCACAACAGUAUAAUGGGUACUAUUAUUCUUCCUGC
Molecule: long non-coding RNA, 829 nt
Filed under: Equus caballus (horse)
Lineage: Eukaryota; Metazoa; Chordata; Mammalia; Perissodactyla; Equidae
Description: lncRNA (ENSECAG00000048065.1)
Source: RNAcentral